GAUGAAGAACGUAGCGAGAUGCGAUACUUGGUGUGAAUUGCAGAAUCCCGUGAACCAUCGAGUCUUUGAACGCAAGUUGCGCCCGAAGCCAUUAGGCCGAGGGCACGCCUGCCUGGGCGUCACACGUCGUUGCCCCCCCAUCUACUCCUUCGGGAUUGCGGGGGGCGGAUGAUGGCCUCCCGUGCGCCUCGUCGCGCGGUUGGCAUAAAUACCAAGUCCUCGGCGACGCACGCCACGACAAUCGGUGGUUGCGAAACCUCGGUUGCCCGUCGUGUGCGGUCGUCGCGCAUCGAGGGCUCGAAAAAAUUGCCGGGCUCCGGCUCGGCUUUCAACGCGACCCCAGGUCAGGCGGGGUUACCCGCUGAAUUUAAGCAUAUCAAUAAGCGGAGGA
Molecule: unclassified non-coding RNA, 391 nt
Filed under: soil metagenome
Description: partial contains 5.8S ribosomal RNA, internal transcribed spacer 2, and large subunit ribosomal RNA
Rfam family: 5.8S ribosomal RNA (bases 1-122)
Source: RNAcentral